This 486-nucleotide ribosomal RNA is filed under the name uncultured bacterium. RNAcentral describes it as "partial 16S ribosomal RNA". It matches the Rfam family "Bacterial small subunit ribosomal RNA", at positions 29 to 507 of the family's 1533-position model. The record is from RNAcentral.
AUUGAACGCUGGCGGCAUGCCUUACACAUGCAAGUCGAACGGCAGCACGGGUGCUUGCACCUGGUGGCGAGUGGCGAACGGGUGAGUAAUACAUCGGAACAUGUCCUGUAGUGGGGGAUAGCCCGGCGAACGCCGGAUUAAUACCGCAUACGAUCCACGGAUGAAAGCGGGGGCCCUUCGUGCCUCGCGCUAUAGGGUUGGCCGAUGGCUGGUUAGCUAGUUGGGGGGGUAAAGGCCUACCAAGGCGGCGAUCAGUAGCUGGUCUGAGGGGAAGACCAGCCAGCAGGGGACUGAGGCACGGCCCAGACUCCUAGGGGGAGCCACAGUUGGGAAUUUUUGGGGAGGGGGCAAAGGCUUAUCCAGGAAAGGCGGCGGUGGGAAGAAGGACCUCGGGUUGGUAAGCACUUUUGUCCGGAAAGAAAUCCUUGACUCUAAUACAGUCGGGGGAUGACGGUACCGGAAGAAUAAGCACCGGCUAACUACGUG